AGAACGAACGCUGGCGGCAUGCCUAAUACAUGCAAGUCGAACGAACACUUCGGUGUUAGUGGCGCACGGGUGCGUAACGCGUGGGAAUCUGCCCUUGGGUUCGGAAUAACAGUUGGAAACGACUGCUAAUACCGGAUGAUAUCGAAAGAUCAAAGAUUUAUCGCCCAGGGAUGAGCCCGCGUAGGAUUAGCUAGUUGGUGAGGUAAAGGCUCACCAAGGCGACGAUCCUUAGCUGGUCUGAGAGGAUGAUCAGCCACACUGGGACUGAGACACGGCCCAGACUCCUACGGGAGGCAGCAGUAGGGAAUAUUGGACAAUGGGCGCAAGCCUGAUCCAGCAAUGCCGCGUGAGUGAUGAAGGCCUUAGGGUUGUAAAGCUCUUUUACCCGAGAUGAUAAUGACAGUAUCGGAGAAUAAGCCCCGCUAACUCCGUGCCUAGCAGCCGC
RNAcentral lists this ribosomal RNA (445 nucleotides) under uncultured soil bacterium. RNAcentral describes it as "bacterial SSU rRNA". It matches the Rfam family "Bacterial small subunit ribosomal RNA", at positions 26 to 518 of the family's 1533-position model. The record is from RNAcentral.